Molecule: transfer RNA, 64 nt
Filed under: Cucujoidea sp. 7 KM-2017
Lineage: Eukaryota; Metazoa; Arthropoda; Insecta; Coleoptera
Description: tRNA-Pro
Source: RNAcentral
CUAAGGGUAGUUUAAUUUAAAAUAUUAAUUUUGGAGAUUAAAGAUAAAGAUAUUUUCCCUUUGA